CACAUCUAUGAACUUAUCGCUUCUUCUUUGUUCUUGUUGCCUAUUCGACAUUCACACCCAUUUCUCACAAACCUCUCUCUCUCUCUCUCUCUCUCUCUCUCUCUCUCUCUCUCUCUCUCUCUCUCUCUCUCUCUCUCUCACACUUAUUCCUCUUCACCGCCACACCCUCGCCUCUAGCAAAGCAAAACAGAGACACCACCGCCUCCGUCAGUGAAGCACAGUCUCUCGCGUCGGAUCUCUGACCCGUGGUUUGAUCAUCCAUCCUCCUUUCCAACUUCAACCCCGCAUGCCUCCGGUCUCAGCCCGACGAAGACGAAGAUGGAGACAAAGGCAGAGAAAUACCAUCCUCCAUCUGAAUGAGAAAUAGAGGGGAAUGAGAAUAUUACUCCGAUUGGCUCAAAGAUCACAGUAAUUUCAACUUCGUGCCUUGUUUUUUAUGUAUUUGUUUAUCAUAACCAAUGUUUCAUUUGUUUGCUUAGGAAAGCCUAAUGGGUUUUUUAUUUUAGACAUGAGUGCAAGAGUUGGUGAUGGCUUUCAAAGAAAAAUACAAAUGUUUUAGCAAAUGGGAGAUCACAUAUAUGUUAAUUA
Long non-coding RNA from Carya illinoinensis, 588 nucleotides. RefSeq lists it as uncharacterized. The transcript has 2 exons. The record is from RefSeq and is a predicted model, not a curated record. NCBI's taxonomy places the organism in Eukaryota, Viridiplantae, Streptophyta, Magnoliopsida, Fagales, Juglandaceae.